AGAGUUUGAUCAUGGCUCAGAAUGAACGCUGGCGGCGUGCUUAACACAUGCAAGUCGAACGGUAACAGGAGGAAGCUUGCUUCUUUGCUGACGAGAGGCGCACGGGUGAGUAAUAGAUAGAUAAUGUGCCCCUUAGUCUGGGAUAGCCACUGGAAACGGUGAUUAAUACUAGAUACGCCUUUUUACCAUAUGGUAAUUUGGGAAAGGUUUUUCGCUAAGGGAUCAGUCUAUCUCCUAUCAGUUAGUUGGUGAGGUAAGAGCUCACCAAGGCAAUGACGGGUAGCGGGUUUGAGAGGAUGAUCCGCCACACUGGUACUGAGACACGGACCAGACUCCUACGGGAGGCAGCAGUGAGGAAUAUUGCACAAUGGGGGAAACCCUGAUGCAGCAACGCCGCGUGGAGGAUGACGCAUUUCGGUGUGUAAACUCCUUUUAUAAGAGAAGAAAAUGACGGUAUCUUAUGAAUAAGCUCCGGCUAACUCCGUGCCAGCAGCCGCGGUAAUACGGAGGGAGCAAGCGUUAUUCGGAAUCAUUGGGCGUAAAGGACGCGUAGGCGGGUUAGUAAGUCAGGUGUGAAAUCCUACAGCUCAACUGUAGAACUGCACUUGAAACUACUGACCUAGAGUAUGGAAGGGGCAGAUGGAAUUAGUGGUGUAGGGGUAAAAUCCGUAGAUAUCACUAGGAAUACCGAAAGCGAAGGCGAUCUGCUGGGACAUUACUGACGCUGAGGCGUGAAAGCGUGGGGAGCAAACAGGAUUAGA
This 761-nucleotide ribosomal RNA is filed under the name uncultured bacterium. RNAcentral's name for it is "bacterial SSU rRNA". It matches the Rfam family "Bacterial small subunit ribosomal RNA", at positions 8 to 782 of the family's 1533-position model. The record is from RNAcentral.